AAUGAACGCUGGCGGCAUGGAUUAGGCAUGCAAGUCGAACGGGCCGCUUUUCGCAAGAGAGGCGGCCAGUGGCGAAAGGGUGAGUAACACGUGAGUAACCUGCCCCCGAGUCCGGGAUAGCCCGCGGAAACGCGGAUUAAUACCGGAUGUGGUACUCUGCCGCAUGGCAGAGCCACUGAAGAUUUAUCGCUCGGGGAUGGGCUCGCGGCCCAUAAGCUGGUUGGCGGGGUCACGGCCCACCAAGGCUAUGACGGGUAGGUGGUCUGAGAGGAUGGUCACCCACACUGGGACUGAGACACUGCCCAGACUCCUACGGGAGGCAG
This 323-nucleotide ribosomal RNA is filed under the name uncultured Lentisphaerota bacterium. RNAcentral describes it as "bacterial SSU rRNA". It matches the Rfam family "Bacterial small subunit ribosomal RNA", at positions 29 to 351 of the family's 1533-position model. The record is from RNAcentral. Lineage: Bacteria; Pseudomonadati; Lentisphaerota.